RNAcentral lists this ribosomal RNA (206 nucleotides) under uncultured bacterium. RNAcentral's name for it is "partial 16S ribosomal RNA". It matches the Rfam family "Bacterial small subunit ribosomal RNA", at positions 568 to 774 of the family's 1533-position model. The record is from RNAcentral.
CGCGUAGGUGGUUUCUUAAGUCAGAGGUGAAAGGCUACGGCUCAACCGUAGUAAGCCUUUGAAACUGGGAAACUUGAGUGCAGGAGAGGAGAGUGGAAUUCCUAGUGUAGCGGUGAAAUGCGUAGAUAUUAGGAGGAACACCAGUUGCGAAGGCGGCUCUCUGGACUGUAACUGACACUGAGGCACGAAAGCGUGGGGAGCAAACA